This 3588-nucleotide long non-coding RNA is filed under the name Fragaria vesca (wild strawberry). RNAcentral's name for it is "long non-coding RNA (FVES_LNC000991)". The record is from RNAcentral. Lineage: Eukaryota; Viridiplantae; Streptophyta; Magnoliopsida; Rosales; Rosaceae.
CACGCCAGAUGUUGACUCAACUAUAUACUCCGAAUAUUUUGUAGGAAAAUUCGGAUCACGAGCUAAAAGAUCAUGUAGCUUUCGUUGUUUUGUUGUUCCGUUGUUAUCUUCUUGUAAAUAUCCUCGGCAGAUUCCUCAAGGGGCCUAAUCUUUGCCAUUUGGUGGAGGGUCUCUUCAGGCAACCUAGAUUGUAAGAAGUAGUAGACAUGGAGGAGCAUUUGUAGAUGCCUAAUAAGGAACCCUAUUGGAACAUUCAAGCACAUAAGAUCACACACCACAUCACGCCAUACCAAAAUGUCAUCUAACACAAAGUUGGACAUGAGUGUCUUAUCCAUGCUAUAAAGAACAAGCCCAAGCCUCUCAAAUAUCAUGUCAAGACCCACCCCGAAUUUCAACCUGAAACCCGAAGUAAAUCUUGCGGGGACCACCUCUAAGAAAAAUUUACCGAAAAUUCGGCAUAACCUCCCUUGAAAAUGGGCAUACACUUCUGAAAAUCCAAAUCCAACCUUAAACUCCUGGAGCCUUCAUGCUCCCCAAAUCACAACAUCUCCGAAUUUAUUUACUAACUUUAAAAAGAAAAUCUCACAACCAACAACCACAGUUCAAAGCAACUCUAUUUGAGAGGAAAUGAACUAGAACUAUAAAAAUGAGCAGAAGCUAUAUUAUUGACUCUGCCUCUUCUCCAUGUACGCCCGACCUCAACUAUGCUAACUUGCAUACUGGGCAUUUUUAAAACGAACGGCACAGGGAAAAACAUUUGCAAACGUUAGAGUGAGUGGACAAAAAUAAAUUUAACAGAAAUAAUUAAUGCUUUCCCAAAUUAAAUUUCCAAAGAAAUCGAAUGCAUGCCUCAAACGAUAAAACUUUCAUCUCUUAAAUAUUGAGCCUCUCAAACUCAAUAAUAUAAAUCCAACAAUAUAUAUGUUUGUAUCUACACACAUCCAUACUCCUUGUAUGAAUUCUAUGAAGGAAUAUAAGAAAUAUAGGAAUUCAUACAAGGCUACUACGUUUGCGUCUAACGCUCACGUCACGCCUUAAUGCGGUGUUACACUACGCCAUUAAGGUGGACGGACGAGUGUAUAAAUAUGUGCCCAUACCCCCUAUAUGAAUUAGACACUCAACGCUCGCGUCUAACGCUCACGUCACACCAUAAUACGGUUAUAUACUACGCCAUUAAGGUGGACAGACACAUAUGGCUAGCUAGUAUUUAUAUACAUACUCUCCUCAUAAAUAUAUUUAGAUUCACCGAAAAAAUCAUAUUUUCAGUAACUCUCCAAAAUAAAUAAAAUCGUCAAAUUAAAAUGACGUCAAAUGCUCCAACAAAAGAAAUUGCUCAACAAUAAACCAUUGCAUGCAUAUUAUUUAAAACAAAAGUCCACUCACAACUUUAGGCAUAAGCCCAACGAAAUCUAAUUCGCCACUCAAGUGAGGUCUCCUAGAAUCCUGGCACAAUAACCAUACUUAGGACCAAACUUCAUUUUCAGAAAAAAAAAAAAAAAAAAAAAACUUAAAUAAAUAACCCAAAACUCUUCCACGUAAUCCACUACCCUUUCUAGGGUUAAGCUUAUUGGAUUCACGCUAAACUCCAACCAGCCUCAAUUUAUUUAUUUCAACAUUCUAAAACAAUAAUAAGGAAAAUCCAACGGUCGGAUUCUACCCCAUUAACCGCUAAAUUCACCCAUCUUUCAAAAAUCCAAAACCUAUUCAAAACUCCUCCAAAAAUUCCAAACUUCAUACCAUUAAACUCCCCUUAAAAUUACACACUUAAAACCAUGAAAAUCCCCCUAACAGUGGCGGCGUAGCCGUCUGCUCCGCCGGCAGCGGCGGCCGGAAGCCGACUCCGAAUACCUCCAAUGCCUUCCAAAAUUUGACAGCAUCUUCCUCUCAACUCACUCUACAACUUUCCUAACUAGCACAAACACCAAUUCCAAGCCUAACUAGGCCAAUCGAACGAAAACAUUCUAAAAAACCCUAGAACUUCCACUCACCGAUUCUCUUCAUCUGAAGCAAACUGGAUUGAGUCCUUUUAGGGCAAGGCUACUGGGUUGGAGACCUUCAAAACCAUAUAAGGCUUGCCUGGAUUGGUGGUCGGAGGAGGGAAUUUCGGCGACGAAGAGCUAUGGCAGUCGGACCUUUCGGGCGUGCUUACUCCCACACGGCGGUGCUAGGGUGGCUCUCACCGGUCUAAGAAGAAGGCUGGGUCGACGGCCGAUCGUUUGGGACCGGAGCGACGGCCUACGAUGGCUGGACGGCGACGGACUGCUACUUGGAUUCCGGCAGGGAGAGGGAGCUCGGGGGAGAAGAGAGAGAGAGUGGAGAAAGUGUUUGGGCUUUCUCACUCCACUUUGACCUAGUCCACUCUUAAAAACCCACUCCAAAAUAAAUAACACACUCCCAACAACAACCCAAAAAUAAUACCCUAAUAAAAAUUACAUUUGUACCAGCUAAAAUUACCCUUUUUACCAUCUUCAAAUAUUUCUCCUACAAAUAAUUUCUUCGAAAUAAUCGUCCCUCAAAACAUCUCUAGGGACCUUUGAGAUUAUAAACUCAUUGACGAAUACGGUAAAACUCUUAUUAAUACCAAGCUAGUAAAUAAGGUAAAAAUUUAAGAGUCGGGAUGUGACAUAUCAUGCUCUUGGUAACACACAUGUUAUAUGCCGUAACUAACAUAUACUAUUAUACUUAUUCUCUUUGAAUCCUACGCAUGGAAUGAGACUCAUUUUCUCAAAUUGCAUAUUUAGUCCCUCCACGCAUCCAUGACACUUUUCUCAAAUUGCAUCUUUAGUCCCUCCGUGACAUGACAAUUUUCUAAAAUUGCAUCUUUAGCCCCUCCAUGCAUCAUGAUAAUUUUCUCAAAUUACAUCUUUAGUCUCUCCGUGCCAUGACAAUUUUCUUAAAUUGCAUCUUUAAUCCCCCAUGCAUCAUGACAUUUUUCUCAAAUUGCAUCUUUCGUCCCUCAUGUGCCAUGCAUGCAUGACAAUUUUCUCAAAUUGCAUCUUUUGUCCCUCCAUGCAUCCAUGACAACCUUCAUGCAUCAUGACAUUUUUCUCAAAUUGCAUCUUUAGUCCCUCAUGUGCCAUGCAUGCAUGACAAUUUUCUCAAAUUGCAUCUUUUGUCCCUCCAUGCAUCCAUGACAACCUUCAUGCAUCCCGACACUUUUCUCAAAUUGCAUAUUUCGUCCCUCCAUGCAUCAUGACACUUUUCUCAAAUUGCAUCUUUAGUCCCUCCAUGUAUCAUGACACUAAUUGAAAAUUUAGUCCCUCCAUGCAACAUGACACUUUUCUCAAAUUGCAUCUUUAGUCCCUUCCCAACGUGAUCCUCCCUGUAUACAUGGAACAACUAUGUAUCUGUAUGUGUUUGAUUGUUCCAAGGUGAUCCUUAAUUAUAGGACUUGGAUCACCUUGAAAUUUUAUAAAUCUUAAACCCUCUAAUAUAUGUUGUCCUCUCUGAUUUUUGCAAGAAAUCCUAUAUCGCUAAUCUUCCAUCUUUUCUAUCUAUUCAGUUUCCUAACACUCCUACUAUCUAAACUCUAAAGUCCAAAAUCUCAUCACCACAAUCAACCUUUUUCCUACUUCAAUACAAAGGCCC